Molecule: long non-coding RNA, 2052 nt
Organism: Loxodonta africana (African savanna elephant)
Lineage: Eukaryota; Metazoa; Chordata; Mammalia; Proboscidea; Elephantidae
Exons: 3
Source: RefSeq, a predicted model, not a curated record
AUUCCAAUCAGCACGUGGCACUGUGACAUUUAUGAUGAUAUUAUUAUCACCAGUGUUAUUAGGACGUGUGGGCUGGAUAAUCAGCUGCUUUGCUCUGUACAGACGUUAGUAACGUCUGUGUAUUUUUGUUCAUUUUAUAAUUUCGUAAGCUCUUUUUAAAAAAAACGCUUUUCCUUUCUGAUGUGUCUUCACUAAAGAAUGUGUCCCCAAAAUAUGAAUAGAAAUUCAUAACAUCAAGAAGCGGCAAAAAACUAUGAAUUUCCUAUCUAGAUGAAGGAAUAAUAAUACAACACAUAAUAUGUGCCUGGUGUUGUGAAAAAUGAUGCAGCAAAAUAUAAGUAAUCUAGGGAUAGGAAAAAAUACCCUUUUAAUAGCUGAAAUUUUAUGUUAGAGUGUAUGGAAUAUGAAUAUCGAACAUUUUUUAAUAAGAAAAAAUAUGGCAACUGAUUAAAAUAACUUGAGAGUUAUAUUUUACAAAAUUAUGAUCCUGUGUUAUUUACACUUUCCAAAAGACCAUAGUUUGUGUGUUUGUGUUUAGACCGGUAGUAAAUAAAUGUUUUCAGGAUAAUAAAUAACUCUUACAUCUUGUUCUAAUUUUUUAUCACGGCAUUGUGAUUUAAUGAAAUCCAUAAUUCUUUCCUGUCGAUAUGACAAUAAAAGUAUAAAGAUAAAAUCACACUCAGAAUAUUGUUAGUGUAAGAAUUCUAGAUGUAAAGUAAAUGUCCAUGAUUGACUAUAGAAUAAUAACUCAUAGUGACAUACAAUCAAAUGGGUAUUGUUUGAUAACAGGCAAAGAGAUGAAAGAAGGGAAUUGUGUAUUUAUUUAACCUGAAAUGUAACCAUCAAGGAAUUAAUUUCACUCACCAAAAAAAUGUGAAUAGAUUUAUUAUCAGGUGUAUCCAAAUACUGUUACCACAACUGUAAAACAGACUGGCUGUGUUUGCAACUUGACCUUAAAAGGCACAGCCUAGAGUUUAUGUUCACUGAUUUUCAUCUUGACUUGGGAAGAGAGCUUUGCAUACUACGUAGAAGAAUAUCACCUACAAGCAGAGCUUUUUUGUGUGUGUACUCCAUCUUCUUUCCCCUCAGCUCUAAUAAAGUGCAUGGGCCAGCCUCUUGUAGUUUUGAAAACAAUGAUAUGUAUCCUUUGAAGUUUAGUGCCAAACAUGUUUUCCUACAGAGAAGGCUGCCCAAAACAUCUAAGCCCAAAUCUACAAGUGUCUGUAGGAUAAUCUCACCUGACAAUCCAAAGUAUCAUUUGAGACAGGAAUCCUACGGAUCAUAUUAAUUUUUAGUUUCUUAUAAUUUAACAUUCCUGCAACUUUCGGGACCCCUAACAGCAUUUUCACUGUGGCAGCUUCCCAACACCAGUUCCAGUAUUUGGAAGAACAAAGGAAACCAAACCAAACCAAACCAAACCAAACCCAAGAAACCCUUAACAAGUACCAAGUCUAACUUGGUUGAAGUGUCUCUGGAAAAAUGUUGAUGACUUAUACUUAUUUUUAGAUAUUUCAACGAGGAAAAAGUGGGUGUGAAAAGAAUUUUUCAGAAGAAAAAGCCUCCUUCUUCGUCAUUAUCUCAGGAAGUGUUAAUGUUUUGAAGGCAGUAUCAUUGCCUUAAAUAGUUGGAUCUUUAUGUAUGAUUCAAGGAUCACUGUGGAGACUCUUUUGUUCCCUUUCUGUUCCCACACAGAAAAACCAUAGUCAGUCCAAAGAGACUCCCCUAUGUCUGGCUGCUGUGCCUGAAAUCCCCAUCAUUAGAACUUCUACAGUUUGUGAGCCUGGAAAUUACAGGGUUGAUGACAGAGGAAACCAGUUCUCAUUGAAAAUGAAAGAUGGAGUCAUCUUAUCACCUCUUAGCAUCUUAGAAUGUACCGGUGGGAGCAAAUGAGUCGAGAAUAUCCCUAAGAAACCUGAACUUGAUCAUGAUUGGAAUGUCUUACAAAUAUUUUCCAGUGCUCAAGAAUCUUAAAAUUUUGGGAAAAAAUACAGAAGUCGUAAGUAAGUAUUUCCGCUCAAUAUUUUCAAAUUGGGGUAAAAGUCUCAGGGUAAG